This 268-nucleotide ribosomal RNA is filed under the name uncultured bacterium. RNAcentral's name for it is "partial 16S ribosomal RNA". It matches the Rfam family "Bacterial small subunit ribosomal RNA", at positions 1234 to 1500 of the family's 1533-position model. The record is from RNAcentral.
CGGGUACAACGAGUCGCAAGCUCGCGAGAGUAAGCUAAUCUCUUAAAGCCGUUCUCAGUUCGGACUGUAGGCUGCAACUCGCCUACACGAAGUCGGAAUCGCUAGUAAUCGCGGAUCAGCAUGCCGCGGUGAAUACGUUCCCGGGCCUUGUACACACCGCCCGUCACACCAUGGGAGUUUGUAACGCCCAAAGUCGGUGGCCUAACCUUUAUGGAGGGAGCCGCCUAAGGCGGGACAGAUGACUGGGGUGAAGUCGUAACAAGGUAUC